Long non-coding RNA from Lycium ferocissimum, 489 nucleotides. RefSeq lists it as uncharacterized. The transcript is spliced from 3 exons. NCBI's taxonomy places the organism in Eukaryota, Viridiplantae, Streptophyta, Magnoliopsida, Solanales, Solanaceae. The record is from RefSeq and is a predicted model, not a curated record.
AGGGCUUUCAAAUUUACCAAGCAAUUAAAAAACACGUGAGAAGUUGUGAUGAAAGUAGCAACCCUUUUUGAUGAAUGAGAAUGCUAUUUAUUCAAUCGUUGAAAAUUACAGUUUUUUUACACUUCCGAGCUGGUGGAUCAAUCUGGUGAUUAAAUUUCACAUUUAGCUAUCGAUAUUGGAGCAGCACCAUCAACUCUUUUGUCAAGGAAAAGAAGGUGGUCCAGAUGUCACUGAUUGAGCAGUAUAUGCAAACAUCAACCUACAAGACAAGGCGACCUAAUAACAAACAGAAUUGAGUAUUAGUAUGUAUAUGUCCGACAUGUACGGGUGAUGUAUUCUACUACAAGAAGCAAAGGAAAAACAAGAAAGUGCAAGCCAAAGGAAAUGGAGAUGGAGGAGAAAAUACGAAGAAGAAGUUAUUUUAGAUGGAUGUGGCGUGCUUUACUAUCUACAUAAGAUGUUUCGGCCUUCAGGUAAAAAAAAAUAAAA